RNAcentral lists this ribosomal RNA (543 nucleotides) under Lanthanomelissa discrepans. Its description in RNAcentral is "partial 16S ribosomal RNA". The stretch from base 387 to 543 matches the Rfam family "Bacterial large subunit ribosomal RNA", at positions 2473 to 2629 of the family's 2925-position model. The record is from RNAcentral. Lineage: Eukaryota; Metazoa; Arthropoda; Insecta; Hymenoptera; Apidae.
AAACAUGGCUUAUUGUUAUUAAUUUUAGGUCAAUCUGCUCAAUGAUAAUUAAAUAGCUGCAGUAUAUCUGACUGUACAAAGGUAGCAUAAUCAAUUGUCUUUUAAUUGAAGGCUGGAAUGAAGGAAUUAAUGAAAUAUAUACUGUCUCAAUUAUAAUUAAUGAAAUUAAAUUUUUAGUAAAAAUGCUAAAAUAUUUUUAUGGGACGAUAAGACCCUAUAGAAUUUUAUAUUAAUAAUUAAUUAAUUAUUAAUAUUUUUUAUUAUUUAAUUAUUAAUAUUUGAUUGGGAGGAUUAUUAAAUUUAUUAAACUUUAAUUUUAUAAUUUCUAUGAUGUUAGGAUAAAUUAAAGAUAUUUAUUAAAAAAUUAAAAAUAAAAUUACCUUAGGGAUAACAGCGUAAUAUUCUUUUGAGAGAUCUUAUUGAUAAAGAUGAUUGCGACCUCGAUGUUGAAUUAAGAUAAAUUUUAAAUGCAGGAGUUUAAAUAUUAAGUUUGUUCAACUUUUAAAAUCUUACAUGAUUUGAGUUCAGAUCGACGUGAGUCAG